This 90-nucleotide transfer RNA is filed under the name Thermoleophilaceae bacterium. Its description in RNAcentral is "tRNA-Ser". It matches the Rfam family "tRNA". From Rfam's summary of the family: Transfer RNA (tRNA) molecules are approximately 80 nucleotides in length. Their secondary structure includes four short double-helical elements and three loops (D, anti-codon, and T loops). Further hydrogen bonds mediate the characteristic L-shaped molecular structure. tRNAs have two regions of fundamental functional importance: the anti-codon, which is responsible for specific mRNA codon recognition, and the 3' end, to which the tRNAs corresponding amino acid is attached (by aminoacyl-tRNA synthetases). tRNAs cope with the degeneracy of the genetic code in two manners: having more than one tRNA (with a specific anti-codon) for a particular amino acid; and 'wobble' base-pairing, i.e. permitting non-standard base-pairing at the 3rd anti-codon position. The record is from RNAcentral. Lineage: Bacteria; Bacillati; Actinomycetota; Thermoleophilia; Thermoleophilales; Thermoleophilaceae.
GGAGGGGUGGCAGAGCGGUUGAAUGCGGCGGUCUCGAAAACCGUUUCGGGGGGUUCACCUCCGACGAGGGUUCGAAUCCCUCCCCCUCCG